UGGCGAACGGGUGAGUAAUAUAUCGGGACGUACCCUGGAGUGGGGGAUAACGUAGCGAAAGUUACGCUAAUACCGCAUACGAUCUAAGGAUGAAAGUGGGGGAUCGCAAGACCUCAUGCUCGUGGAGCGGCCGAUAUCUGAUUAGCUAGUUGGUAGGGUAAAAGCCUACCAAGGCAUCGAUCAGUAGCUGGUCUGAGAGGACGACCAGCCACACUGGAACUGAGACACGGUCCAGACUCCUACGGGAGGCAGCAGUGGGGAAUUUUGGACAAUGGGCGAAAGCCUGAUCCAGCAAUGCCGCGUGAGUGAAGAAGGCCUUCGGGUUGUAAAGCUCUUUUGUCAGGGAAGAAACGGUGAAAGCUAAUAUCUUUUGCUAAUGACGGUACCUGAAGAAUAAGCACCGGCUAACUACGUGCCAGCAGCCGCGGUAAUACGUAGGGUGCAAGCGUUAAUCGGAAUUACUGGGCGUAAAGCGUGCGCAGGCGGUUUUGUAAGUCUGAUAUGAAAUCCCCGGGCUCAACCUGGGAAUUGCAUUGGAGACUGCAAGGCUAGAAUCUGGCAGAGGGGGGUAGAAUUCCACGUGUAGCAGUGAAAUGCGUAGAUAUGUGGAGGAACACCGAUGGCGAAGGCAGCCCCCUGGGUCAAGAUUGACGCUCAUGCACG
RNAcentral lists this ribosomal RNA (663 nucleotides) under uncultured bacterium. RNAcentral describes it as "bacterial SSU rRNA". It matches the Rfam family "Bacterial small subunit ribosomal RNA", at positions 96 to 755 of the family's 1533-position model. The record is from RNAcentral.